CAUCUCAACACUGAAUAUCUCCAUCCCAUUGCUGAAUGUCUCCACCCCACUGCUGAACAUUUCCAUCCCAGUGUUGAAUAUCUCCACCCCAGUGCUGAACAUCGCCAUCCCAGUGCUGCGUAUCUCCAUCCCAACACUGAACAUCUCCACCCCCAGUGCUGAACUUUUCCAUCCCAAUGCUGAAUAUCUCCAUCCCAAAUCUGAACAUCUCCAUCCCAUUCUGAACAUCUCCAUCCCAAUACUGAACAUCUCCAUCCCAGUGCUGAACAUCUCUAUGCCAACGCUGAAUAUUUCCAUCUCCAUUUUCUGAGAAACACCCUGCAAGAGUCUCAGGAAGGCUGAGGACCUCAUGGUGACACCCAACAAGAAUGGACACUUCCCCCAGAGAUGUUCCCUGUUAGAAACAUAUGCCCAGUGCAGAGCCCUGGGGUAAAGCCAAGGCUGUGAUGCUCCAUGUUUUCCUCCCCGCGCCUGGCAAAGCUGUGCCCUCCAUCGGCCAAACAAUCCUGCCCUGCCCCCGUGCCCUCUGGUUGCAGCAAGGCUGUAGCAAAUCCGAGCAGGGGGACAACACAGUUCAACACAGUGUAAAACAGCAGUCGGAGCACGGCGGUGCAGAGGCAGUGCCCAAAGCAAACACACUGCUGCGAAAAAAUCCUUCCCAGCUUAGUGCGCCCUUCUAAAAACACAGAGUGACUUCAGAAAAAUGUGAGAAAACAUGAGCUGCUCACCCCCAGAGGGAAAACAGAGCACAGGAGCCAUAGGAUGGAGCCUGCUGCCUGCAGCCGUGUCCCCAUGGCAGAGGAUCCUGGGGCCAUCGCGGUGCCUGGGAAGGGCUGAGCUCCCUUAAAGAGCAGUCGGAUGAUGAAUGUGGAGUUGAAAACCUCUUAGAGAAGGGAUGUGCCACAGCAGCCCGCUUCAGCUCCCUCUCCAAGAGAGAUUAUUAAUUAUAAACGUUGCAAAUCUUCGUGAUUCAUACUCAUAAUUGCAGCGUAUCCAUCACACGCUGGGAAAUCAUUAAGGGAAAGCAUGGGCUGGAGGCACGGGGCAGUUGCAGCCGUUGCUGGUGGGGAGCACGAGCAGGAAAACGUCAUGCACAGGAGGAAGAGCGGCCCCAGUGCCCCUCUUGUGCAAUGGCUCAGCAGAGGGGAGAGGCACUGGGAGGAUGCUCAGAGGGGGAAGUGGCCUCCUGAGCAGCCCCGGCUCUCCUGGGGUUUGUUGUCCCAUCUCGGGCAGUACUGCCCGCAGGGAGACCUGCAAGGCACAGCCAUUCCCAGCAGCCAGACCUGCCAGGAAGCGUUUUCCCUCAUCUCCAUCCUCAGAUCUUCAGCAUCUUCGUGCUCUUCAAAUCGUGCUGGAGAGGUUCCGGUUGGAUGCUGGGAAGCAUUGUUUUCUGAAAGAGAGGUGAUGCUCUGGCACAGCUGCCCGGGCAGUGGUGGAGGUGGAGGUGUCCCAGAGCCAUGGAGACGUGGCACUGAGGG
This 1478-nucleotide long non-coding RNA is filed under the name Gallus gallus (chicken). Its description in RNAcentral is "lncRNA (ENSGALG00010020266.1)". The record is from RNAcentral. Lineage: Eukaryota; Metazoa; Chordata; Aves; Galliformes; Phasianidae.